This 463-nucleotide ribosomal RNA is filed under the name uncultured bacterium. RNAcentral describes it as "SSU rRNA". It matches the Rfam family "Bacterial small subunit ribosomal RNA", at positions 26 to 518 of the family's 1533-position model. The record is from RNAcentral.
AGGAUUAACGCUGGCGGCGUGCCUGACACAUGCAAGUCGAACGAGGCCGCAAGGCCGAGUGGCGGACGGGUGAGUAACACGUGACCAACCAACCUCGAAGUUGGGAAUAGCUCUGCGAAAGUAGGAGUAAUACCGAAUGUGGCCCAGGGCGGGCAUCCGCCUUGGUCUAAAGAUUCAUCGCUUCGAGACGGGGUCGCGGCCUAUUAGCUUGUUGGUGAGGUAACGGCUCACCAAGGCGAUGAUGGGUAGCUGGUCUGAGAGGACGACCAGCCACACUGGGACUGAGACACGGCCCAGACUCCUACGGGAGGCAGCAGUGAGGAAUCUUCCGCAAUGGGCGAAAGCCUGACGGAGCAACGCCGCGUGUGGGAUGAAGACUCUAGGGUUGUAAACCACUGUCGGAGGGGACGAUCGUGACGGUACCCUCCAAGAACGCCCCGGCUAACUACGUGCCAGCAGCCGC